This 464-nucleotide ribosomal RNA is filed under the name uncultured bacterium. RNAcentral's name for it is "partial 16S ribosomal RNA". It matches the Rfam family "Bacterial small subunit ribosomal RNA", at positions 339 to 795 of the family's 1533-position model. The record is from RNAcentral.
CUACGGGUCGCUGCAGUGGGGAAUAUUGCGCAAUGGGGGAAACCCUGACGCAGCGACGCCGCGUGGAUGAUGAAGGCCUUAGGGUCGUAAAAUCCUGUCAGGUGGGAAGAAGUGGAUAUAGAUUAAUACUCUAUUUCUUUGACGGUACCACCAAAGGAAGCACCGGCUAACUCCGUGCCAGCAGCCGCGGUAAUACGGAGGGUGCAAACGUUGUUCGGAAUUAUGGGCGUAAAGCGCGCGUAGGCGGUUUGUUAAGUCAGAUGUGAAAGUCCAUGGUUCAACUAUGGAAGUGCAUUUGAAACUGGCAGACUUGAGUACUGGAGGGGGUGAUGGAAUUCCCGGUGUAGAGGUGAAAUUCGUAGAUAUCGGGAGGAAUACCGGUGGCGAAGGCGAUCACCUGGCCAGAUACUGACGCUGAGGUGCGAAAGCGUGGGGAGCAAACAGGAUUAGAUACCCCCGUAGUC